Molecule: long non-coding RNA, 839 nt
Filed under: Coffea arabica (coffee)
Lineage: Eukaryota; Viridiplantae; Streptophyta; Magnoliopsida; Gentianales; Rubiaceae
Description: long non-coding RNA (CARA_LNC005942)
Source: RNAcentral
GGGGAAAUUUCUCUUCAAAGGUUAGGUGGUGCCAAUCACAUUAAUUGUGAAACCCAAUAACGAUCCUUUGAAGAAGUCACGAAUAAUGCGAGUGGGAUGCAAAUGAAUGGAAUGCAUGUAUGCAAUGUGAAGGUAUGUGAAGUGAGAAAAAUAAUAAAAAUAAUAGGAUGUAAGUGGAGGUGUGCAAAUGUAUUUACAAGUGUUUGUGUGCAAGCGAAGGGAUAAAAAGGUGCAUGUGUGCAAAUGACAAAAGUGAAAGUGUGCAAGUGAAGGGAUAAAAGGUGUACGUGUGCAAAUGGGAGGAAAAGUGAAAGUGUAAUGAUGGAGUGGAUUUAGAAUGCAUGGGUCUAGGGAAUGCAUGCAUAUUGGGUACGGGGAGACCUAAAUCGUGACUCAAUUUACCCUUUUGUAGAGGGAAUACAAGCGUGCUAAGGCUUAGAAAAAGCCACACUCGUCUAUAUCCCAUAUUUAAGGGGACUCUCAAUCAAAUGAACCCUAUAGCUAGCAUUAAAUGCAAAAAUCCUAAAAUGGAGGGAAAAGGGGUUCGAGGGGCAUGCAAAAUGAUAAAACUAAAAAAAAUGCAUGACAUGUAAUGAUCAUGCAAAUAUGUGCUAACGAGGGGAAAUCCCUAAGGGUCUAGCGUUGGACUAGCCCAUUCUAUGAAUUCCGACUAGCGUUGGACUAGUGGAAACGUACAUUCAUCCAUCACAUUCAUUCAAGGAUAUGGAAAGCGAGUAGACAUGUCAAUCACAUAGCACAUAACACUUAGCAUGCAUAUCUAAAUGCCAAAACCUAAGAAAACGAUUAAACAUAUAGCACAUAGACAUGCAAGACACAUA